Molecule: long non-coding RNA, 4751 nt
Organism: Peromyscus californicus insignis
Lineage: Eukaryota; Metazoa; Chordata; Mammalia; Rodentia; Cricetidae
Exons: 3
Source: RefSeq, a predicted model, not a curated record
UGAGAUUUCUUCUUCUCAUUUAAUAUUUAGGUUUGCAUUAAGCUGAUAAAAACUAACUAGAAGAGAGUGUAUCAUUAAGUGCAAAGAUUAUGAAGAAUGUGUAAAGAUGCUGAAGUCCAUGUGUGCUGAGAAGAGGCUGGAGAGCGAUACCCAGGACUCCGUGUCCAUAUUCCUGUCUACAUCAGGGACUGGAGGUACUGGAAGAAACAAGGCUUUGGUCUCCAUCUACCUGACAAUCACAGCCUCAGGGAAGUACUCAGAGAACAUGGCAGACAGCUCCCUACCCACCCUUCCCAGGCCCAGGUCUAGCUCCCCUUCAUCUCAGGCCAGGCCUGAACACCUCCCAUCUGGGGAUUAUUUGGGUUACAGGGCUGGAGCCAUCUGACUGCCUUGGAACAUAGAGUAGAAGUCUGACAGGAAGAUUAUCCCAGGCUCAAAUGCGAAGGGCUCCCCUGCUCCUGUGGUCAUGACUGGGAUGGUGUAUAAGCAGAUGGUGGUAACAGAGUGUGUGACAGAGGGAUCUCAGGUCCUUGCACCUACCCAUCUACCUGGCACAUCUGUUCUCUUUGGCUGCUGGAACUCUCUUAACACAACUUGUACACCCAGGCAAGUGGAUGGAGAUUCACUGCUGGUUCACUGCCUGAAAGCACAGGAAGACCCUGGAAGGCAUCCAAAGGGGGGAAAGUGCCGACCUGGCCCACUGAAGUGGCCCACCAACACACACUUACUGACCCACCCUCUUUCUGCUCAUGUGUGUCUCUCUGGCCUCUAUGGCCCUCCUUUCUCUGUGAGGAACAGAAACAAGGCCACCCCUUUCCUCAGGCCUGCAGCCUCUCCAGUUCUCAGUCCUUCAGUCCUUCCAGGACCAAGUGCAUGUGUCACUGACCUGAGAAUGCUCCUAAGAUUCUGAUCCACAAAUCAAUGGUUAUUAGCUUUAAUAACCAAACCAACUGCUCAGAUAGACACCCAUGUUGUCAGUGACAUGAGAAUCUGGGAAUUGGCUUCUGACCAUGCUACUAUGAGUAGUGUAGGAAGGAGGUAAAGAAAUGCUGGUUUCUAGGGGGAGCAGUAACAGGGAGUAUGGGCUGUAGCCUGCAAUGCUUGGGGAACUAUGUGACCCCAUCAGCAACAGCAACUGAAGCACCAAAUAGAAAUAGAAAUUCAAAAUGUGUAAGAAUCACAGAGGUGAUCACAGAAACGAGCCACUUUUGCUGUGGAGGAAGAGUUGCCUUGCUUUUGGUUCUCCCAGCCCUAUAAAGCCACAAGUUCUAACCUUGGUUGCCUUCUACAACUAGAUGAUAAGAUCCUAUGUCUGAAGAUGACACCCAUCUUGGUUGGAAGAUACAGAGAAAACAGCUGAAAGCUUCCUCCAUGCUGGCUAGCUUUCAUAGUGCCAGAAGAAACCACACUGGCUACUGGAGGAGAAAAGUCUUCAGCAGUCUCACCUAGCUGUGAUCCUCCUGGGCUAGAUAUGCCCUCUUUGCUACAGUGACAAACUGUUAUGUGAGCAACCAACUACACUCUGAUUACAUUUGAGUCCUUUCCACAGAAAAGAACCCAUACACGGUACUGUAAAUCUGGUGAAAAGCACAUGCUUGGGGACAUCAUAGGACAUAGGGGGAACUUAAUACUGUUAUCUAGUUAAAUGGACAUAGCAUCUAAUGACCUUCUAAAUAGCUAUAAUUAUACCCAUAGACAAAUGCUACCAUCAGCCUCAAUGAGAAAAACCCCCCUCUCUUUGCAGUGAACAAUGGUAAAUGCAGAGACCCAUGGCUUCUCAGGUGCUGAGAAUAAGUGAUGGUUGAAUUUUGAGCCUUAAACAAGACAUUUAUACCAGCUCCUCUGAGCUCAGGAACACAGUGGCCUAUGGGCAGAGAGAUUAUAUGAUAAGGAGAGGGGCUGCACAAUGCCAUCACUGGGUGGAACACAGCCAUUGCAAUCAUUUCAACUUGCAACUGCUAUGGUUACCUGAACUACUCUUGCACAAGACUGGGCAUGUCACUAAUGGGGGAUUUAUUAAGGCAACUCCACAUAGUUUAAGGGAGGUUUAUUUUGAGGUAAUUUGCAGCAAGUAAAGGGAUAGGUUACAGGAUCCGGGAGAGGUGAUCUCUGGAGAACUCUGCUCGGUCUACCAUCCAGCAUCCAGGAUCACCAGGAACCAAGAGAGCCAGCACAUCUGAAUCUUGGGUCUUAAAGGUUCCCGUCUCAGCCCCACCUAAGGGGCAGGCCAUAGGUAGGUGUGGCAAUUACGGGAAGCCUCACUGGGGUAAAGCUGGAACAGCUACCCACUACGUCUCCCCCUUUUGUCUAAAUAAAAAAGUUCUAAUACAAAACUAUAUACAAUAGGAAUGAUUAUCAAAUAUUGUCCAAGAGGAAUAAAGGAUAAUGACCUAGACAAGAUUGAACUACAACCAACACGAAUAAUAUCAAACAAGAGACACAGACUAAAAUCCAGAGAAGUCUGGAGCAUAGGUAAAUGGCACAUUACAAAGAUCAUUCCAAAAGAUGUCCUAUCCUAAAGAAUCUAAAUCUAAUACUUAAUAUGUUCUAGCUAAGAUACAAGAAGGUUGUAACGAUAACUGUUAGUCUUCAAUCCCAUCAAAGACCUGAGAAGGAUAGAAUAAUACCUUAGAAAUAGUAGAAGGAUGCAAGCAACUUUUGGGAGUCUUGUGAGAGUAGACAGAGACAGCUGGCAGCCUGGACAUUCACCUAAAGUUUCUCAGCAUUACUGGUGCAUUCAAAUUGGCUAUAGGCCUAGAGUAUCUGUCAGACCAUUUUAUUGUCAGCAGUCGAGGCAAGGGCAGUUCUUUGUCUAGUAGGCCAUUUUGUGCCAAGGUGAAGACAAACUUCCAGACGGAAAUAUCUCAGAAGCCCAACAUUCUCUUGGGAUCAGAUCGGUGCUGCCAGGAAUAAUUGUGUCUCACAUUAACAGAAUUCCAAGUUAUCAAAACAUUUAAAAGCCAUAUUCAUCAGGUCUAUGAAGUGUUUGAAGAUCACCUAUUCACCUGACAUGUUUUUGUAAGUCUGGAGAACCUAACUAACAUAACUAUAGAGAUGACAUGCAUUGGUGACUAUAAAUUUGCAAGUCUUAUCUAUCUAGAUAACCUAAGGACUAAGGCUUCAUCUAAACAGGGUAAACAGUCUAUAAGCAAUUGUACAGCAAAAGGACAAUGACCUCAAAAUUGUGACAAUACACAAAAUAGCAAAAGCAGAGGCAGAAAUGUCUAGUACAAUAUAACAAUAAUCCUAAAUAUACAUCAAUAUACCAAAUAUCCUAAACAGACGUAGAACAUACAUACAGUAUGAUAAAUAUAAUUUUACAUUUGUAUCAAUAUAUGAAACAUUUCAAAUAAGAGUAGAAAUAUAUGUAUAUUACAACAAAUACAGUUCUGUAUUUGUAUCAAUAUACAAAUUAUCUGGAAUAUGAAUAUAAAAAUAGCUUACAUUUGUAUCAAUAUAUAGGAAUCCAUAACAGUACAAUUUACCUAAGGCUGAUAUUUUACUAAAUUAGUUUACUAGUAUAUACAAUAAUCUACCUUAAUAUCCUAUACCUGUCCAUUCCCCCUUUUUUCUUUUCUUAAGGGGAAUACUGAGUCCAAUGUUUUCUUCCACCCUCAACCCUAUAACCAUUAUCUAUAACCCUCAGAAACAUGAAACUUUUGGGAAAAAGAGCAUCAUUUUCUUAGAAUUGCUUCCUGCUGUUCAGGAGGCGAUGGUGUCUCUGUGGAGUUCUGUAAGAAAGCUCAGAUAGUUAAAUCUCAGUUGGACUAACUGUAGAUUCUGCAGCCAGUACCAGAGUAAUGGGUAAGAUUGUCUGAGAUUCUGGCUAGAAGUGUAGUAUGAUGAUGAGUACCCUGGCAUCAUUCUGGACUGGAUAGAGUUGUUGUUGUGGGGCCCCAUCUUCCUUCUGGAGAAUUCAGAGAUUGCUAUUGGAAAAACUAAUUUUUUUACUGUGAAAAACUUGAACAUUAUUAAUAUCAAAAUGGAAAGGUUGGAUUUAAAGAUGACAUGAUAUAUAAGAAAGGAUUCCAAGAAAUCAAGAAUAAGCAUGGAGAGAAUUAGAAUCUUGAAGACAAUGGUCCCUUUUUACUGGUUUUCUUCUGUCCCACACUAGACAGCUCUUCUGAUAUGACACAGAAUCUCUCAAACUUUUUCUUUUAGCAGUAUGCUUGGGUUUAGAGUAGGAGUAAGCCAAUUCCAACUCCCAAACCAGCAUGGUAAUAUAAUUGAAUUGGAACCACAACUUUUCUAGAAUUAAAGAGAUAUAGAUGGUAGGCAGUGAGAUAUUACCCUGUGUAGAUUGGUACCAAUAGAUUUUUUUCUUUCCACUAUAGAUGUCUGGAUAUCCAAGGCCUUAUGAUUUCUGGAAGAUGAGUAUUUCUAUUAUGCUGUAAAGACAAAAACAGAACCCUACCCCAACCUUUGUUAAGUUUCUCUUACAAGUUGAAGAAAUGUCGCAUUGCUAGAUAAGCUUUUACUUCUCCUCAUCAAGGGGUUUCUCUUGUUCAAAUCAAAUUUUUAUUAAUUUUAUUGGUAUCCAUAGCUUUUCUUCUCCUGCAGAAACGAAAGCAAAACCCCUUCCCCAACAUAGGUCGUAUACUGGUUUCCAUUCUGAGGUCAACACAUCUUUGAAAUAAACUGGUUGAUUAAACUCUGAAGUUUUGUCUGUCAUCCAAUGUCUCUCCACAGCUGUUGUUCCUUUCUCAUCAGCAUUGAGAAAAUUCAAUGUUAAUAAAGCAUUAUGCAAUCAA